Molecule: ribosomal RNA, 161 nt
Filed under: uncultured Serratia sp.
Lineage: Bacteria; Pseudomonadati; Pseudomonadota; Gammaproteobacteria; Enterobacterales; Yersiniaceae
Description: partial 16S ribosomal RNA
Rfam family: Bacterial small subunit ribosomal RNA
Source: RNAcentral
UGGGGAAUAUUGCACAAUGGGCGCAAGCCUGAUGCAGCCAUGCCGCGUGUGUGAAGAAGGCCUUCGGGUUGUAAAGCACUUUCAGCGAGGAGGAAGGUGGUGAGCUUAAUACGCUCAUCAAUUGACGUUACUCGCAGAAGAAGCACCGGCUAACUCCGUGC